GGCAUCUGGGCUGAUUACUUGGUGUCUGCAGCUUCAAGAACCAGGUUCAAUUCCCCUCCAAGUGCACCUGGGCUGCCUCCUCUUAAUCUUGCUGCACCGCAGCAGCCCCUCCCCAACCCGGUAAAAUGUGGGCGAUAAUUCCUUUCUUACAAGGCCCUUCACAGAUACCUGCUGGUCUCUCCCACUUGGCCAAGGAAACACUUGUGGUUAAU
RNAcentral lists this long non-coding RNA (212 nucleotides) under Homo sapiens (human). Its description in RNAcentral is "non-protein coding lnc-NAPSA-2:2". The record is from RNAcentral. Lineage: Eukaryota; Metazoa; Chordata; Mammalia; Primates; Hominidae.